CCCCCUCAAGAUGAGAUUUCCCAAUUAGUAAGACCCCUUGAAGACGACGAGGUAGAUAGGUUGGGGGUGGAAGUGCAGUAAUGCAUGGAGCUGACCAAUACUAAUCGGUCGAGGGCUUAUCCUAAA
Molecule: ribosomal RNA, 126 nt
Filed under: Paenibacillus polymyxa
Lineage: Bacteria; Bacillati; Bacillota; Bacilli; Caryophanales; Paenibacillaceae
Description: partial 23S ribosomal RNA
Rfam family: Bacterial large subunit ribosomal RNA
Source: RNAcentral